UACAGAGGGUGCAAGCGUUGUUCGGAAUUAUUGGGCGUAAAGCGCGCGUAGGCGGCUACUUAAGUCGGAUGUGAAAGCCCUUGGCUCAACUGAGGAAGUGCACCCGAAACUGAGUGGCUAGAGUACGAAAGAGGGUCGCGGAAUUCCCGGUGUAGAGGUGAAAUUCGUAGAUAUCGGGAGGAACACCGGUGGCGAAGGCGGCGACCUGGGUCGAUACUGACGCUGAUGCGCGAAAGCGUGGGGAGCAAACAGG
This 253-nucleotide ribosomal RNA is filed under the name uncultured bacterium. RNAcentral's name for it is "partial 16S ribosomal RNA". It matches the Rfam family "Bacterial small subunit ribosomal RNA", at positions 524 to 776 of the family's 1533-position model. The record is from RNAcentral.